RNAcentral lists this ribosomal RNA (489 nucleotides) under uncultured bacterium. RNAcentral describes it as "partial 16S ribosomal RNA". It matches the Rfam family "Bacterial small subunit ribosomal RNA", at positions 28 to 507 of the family's 1533-position model. The record is from RNAcentral.
GAUGAACGCUAGCUACAGGCUUAACACAUGCAAGUCGAGGGGCAGCAUGAUUGAAGCUUGCUUCCAUCGAUGGCGACCGGCGCACGGGUGAGUAACACGUAUCCAACCUGCCGAUAACUCGGGGAUAGCCUUUCGAAAGAAAGAUUAAUACCCGAUAGUAUAGUAUUUCCGCAUGGUUUCACUAUUAAAGAACUUCGGUUAUCGAUGGGGAUGCGUUCCAUUAGAUAGUUGGCGGGGUAACGGCCCACCAAGUCAACGAUGGAUAGGGGUUCUGAGAGGAAGGUCCCCCACAUUGGAACUGAGACACGGUCCAAACGCCUACGGGAGGCAGCAGUGAGGAAGAGUGGUCAAUGGACGAGAGUCUGAACCAGCCAAGUAGCGUGAAGGAUGACUGCCCUAUGGGUGGUAAACUUCUUUUAUACGGGAAUAAAGUGGAGUAUGCAUACUCCUUUGUAUGUACCGUAUGAAUAAGGAUCGGCUAACUCCGUG